Molecule: ribosomal RNA, 240 nt
Filed under: uncultured bacterium
Lineage: Bacteria
Description: partial 16S ribosomal RNA
Rfam family: Bacterial small subunit ribosomal RNA
Source: RNAcentral
UACAGAGGGGGCAAGCGUUGUUCGGAAUUACUGGGCGUAAAGGGCGCGUAGGCGGCCUUCUAAGUCGAACGUGAAAUCCCCGGGCUCAACCCGGGAACUGCGUCCGAUACUGGAAGGCUUGAAUCCGGGAGAGGGAUGCGGAAUUCCAGGUGUAGCGGUGAAAUGCGUAGAUAUCUGGAGGAACACCGGUGGCGAAGGCGGCAUCCUGGACCGGCAUUGACGCGUGAGGCGCGAAAGCCA